GACGAACGCUGGCGGCGUGCCUAAUACAUGCAAGUCGAACGAACUCUGGUAUUGAUUGGUGCUUGCAUCAUGAUUUACAUUUGAGUGAGUGGCGAACUGGUGAGUAACACGUGGGAAACCUGCCCAGAAGCGGGGGAUAACACCUGGAAACAGAUGCUAAUACCGCAUAACAACUUGGACCGCAUGGUCCGAGUUUGAAAGAUGGCUUCGGCUAUCACUUUUGGAUGGUCCCGCGGCGUAUUAGCUAGAUGGUGAGGUAACGGCUCACCAUGGCAAUGAUACGUAGCCGACCUGAGAGGGUAAUCGGCCACAUUGGGACUGAGACACGGCCCAAACUCCUACGGGAGGCAGCAGUAGGGAAUCUUCCACAAUGGACGAAAGUCUGAUGGAGCAACGCCGCGUGAGUGAAGAAGGGUUUCGGCUCGUAAAACUCUGUUGUUAAAGAAGAACAUAUCUGAGAGUAACUGUUCAGGUAUUGACGGUAUUUAACCAGAAAGCCACGGCUAACUACGUGCCAGCAGCCGCGGUAAUACGUAGGUGGCAAGCGUUGUCCGGAUUUAUUGGGCGUAAAGCGAGCGCAGGCGGUUUUUUAAGUCUGAUGUGAAAGCCUUCGGCUCAACCGAAGAAGUGCAUCGGAAACUGGGAAACUUGAGUGCAGAAGAGGACAGUGGAACUCCAUGUGUAGCGGUGAAAUGCGUAGAUAUAUGGAAGAACACCAGUGGCGAAGGCGGCUGUCUGGUCUGUAACUGACGCUGAGGCUCGAAAGUAUGGGUAGCAAACAGGAUUAGAUACCCUGGUAGUCCAUACCGUAAACGAUGAAUGCUAAGUGUUGGAGGGUUUCCGCCCUUCAGUGCUGCAGCUAACGCAUUAAGCAUUCCGCCUGGGGAGUACGGCCGCAAGGCUGAAACUCAAAGGAAUUGACGGGGGCCCGCACAAGCGGUGGAGCAUGUGGUUUAAUUCGAAGCUACGCGAAGAACCUUACCAGGUCUUGACAUACUAUGCAAAUCUAAGAGAUUAGACGUUCCCUUCGGGGACAUGGAUACAGGUGGUGCAUGGUUGUCGUCAGCUCGUGUCGUGAGAUGUUGGGUUAAGUCCCGCAACGAGCGCAACCCUUAUUAUCAGUUGCCAGCAUUAAGUUGGGCACUCUGGUGAGACUGCCGGUGACAAACCGGAGGAAGGUGGGGAUGACGUCAAAUCAUCAUGCCCCUUAUGACCUGGGCUACACACGUGCUACAAUGGAUGGUACAACGAGUUGCGAACUCGCGAGAGUAAGCUAAUCUCUUAAAGCCAUUCUCAGUUCGGAUUGUAGGCUGCAACUCGCCUACAUGAAGUCGGAAUCGCUAGUAAUCGCGGAUCAGCAUGCCGCGGUGAAUACGUUCCCGGGCCUUGUACACACCGCCCGUCACACCAUGAGAGUUUGUAACACCCAAAGUCGGUGGGGUAACCUUUUAGGAACCAGCCGCCUAAGGUGGGACAAAUGAUUAGGGUG
This 1489-nucleotide ribosomal RNA is filed under the name Lactiplantibacillus pentosus. RNAcentral describes it as "bacterial SSU rRNA". It matches the Rfam family "Bacterial small subunit ribosomal RNA". Lineage: Bacteria; Bacillati; Bacillota; Bacilli; Lactobacillales; Lactobacillaceae. The record is from RNAcentral.